AUGGUUGCUUUUAGCAGCAAGGGAGGUGUGCGAGAAAGUACUGGAUUCAGUCCAAACGAUUUGGUCUUUUGUCACCGAGUACGUGGUCCUUUGGCAGUGCUUCGAGAUGAGUGGUACACAGAGGAACCUCCGUCCAAUUUGAGAGUGUAUGUAAACGGGUUCAGAUACCGGCUUUACAUGGCUGGCCAAUUGGCAAAACGGAACUUGGAAAAAACACAGGGAAAAAUGAAGCGUUUGUAUGAUCGAUGUUCUGAGAGACGACAGUUUAGUAAGGGUGACCAAGUGUUGGCUUUGCUACCAAUUGUGGGGUCACCAUUUCAAGCUAAAUUUAAGGGUCCAUAUACUGUAGAACAACAACUCAGUGAACUAAACUACUUAAUAUCCACUCCAGAUCGCAGGAAAAGAAACCAACUUUGCCACAUAAAUCUGCUGAAACCAUAUUAUGGUCGUGAAUGUCCCCAGAAUGAAUCUGAGGGUUCACACACUCCAUCUGAAGUGAGCCCAGUGUUGUCUGCUGGUACAGUGAUGCAAUCAGGUUUUGGUGGGGGAGAGGAGGUGGCAGUGCCAGAGGAUUCUGUACUGCAUGGUCGUCUGAAGAACUCUGAAUGUCUAAAGAAUAUGGAUGGCUUGUUGUCUCAUUUGUCUGUUGAGAAGCGAACUGAGUUAGCUGUACUGAUUGCAAGCUAUCCAGGGUUAUUUGGAGACACGCCGUCUAGGACAAAUCUGAUGGAGCACGAUAUUGACGUUGGUGACGCUAAGCCCAUCCGGCAGAGAUUUUACAGAGUCUCUGAAGAGAAGAGGAAAAUAUUGGACCGUGAAGUAAACUACAUGUUGGACAAUCAAAUUGCAGUACCCUCCUCUUCCAGUUGGGCAUCUCCAUGCGUGUUAGUUGAGAAAUCCGAUAAAUCACCUCGAUGUUGCACCGAUUUUCGUAAAGUGAAUACAGUGACCAAGUCUGAUUCCUUUCCACUGCCUCGGAUGGAGGAUUGUAUUGACCAGGUUGGUGCAGCAAAGUUUGUAAGCAAAUUUGAUUUGUUAAAAGGUUACUGGCAGGUUCCAUUAACUCCAAGAGCUCGGGAAAUAUCUGCCUUUAUUACACCGUCCGGCCUGUUCUCGUACACUGUUAUGGGUUUUGGUUUGCGCAACGCACCAGCUACAUUUCAACGGUUAAUGAAUAUGGUUGUUAACAGACUUGAAGGUUGUGCGGUAUAUUUGGACGAUGUCGUGAUUUACAGUAACACCUGGGAGGAUCAUCUAAGUCGCAUUCGGGCUUUGUUUGAACGAUUUGCAAAUGCGAAUUUGACAGUAAACUUGGCUAAAUGUGAGUUUGCAAAAGCUACGGUGACAUAUAUUGGCAAAGUAGUGGGCCAAGGUCAUGUGCGUCCAGUUCAUGCAAAGGUGACUGCUGUUGAGGAGUUCCCUGUUCCCACUACGAAAAAAUAA
Molecule: long non-coding RNA, 1443 nt
Filed under: Gadus morhua (Atlantic cod)
Lineage: Eukaryota; Metazoa; Chordata; Actinopteri; Gadiformes; Gadidae
Description: lncRNA (ENSGMOG00000036165.1)
Source: RNAcentral